GCACCGCACAGGCACCGCACCGGGCCGGGGCACGGCCCCGACACCGCACUGACACCGCGCCGACACCCACCGGGCAGCGACCCCGGCCCCGGGACGCUGCAGCUGCAGACACGGGCUGCGAGCAGCGGCGAGCGCCCCGCGCCCCGGCAGCGCUCCCGAUGAGCCCGGGAUGCCGGGAUGUCCCCUCCCAGCCGGGGGUCAGCGCCUGGCGCCCACCCGGAGCCGCUCCUUGCCGUCCCCUCCCCGCAGGACAGCCCCUUCCCUGCCGCCGCCCCCGUGGGGCUCCGGGGCUGCUGUGACUAACGCAGCCGGAGCAGGGACGGAGGAACAUCCCUGCUUUAAACAUUUCCUCCGAGUUUCUGACUCGGGUCCCGGAGCAGCGUGUCCCGGAGCAGCCGAGUCCCACUGCCGGGACGCGAGUUCCCCCUCACGCUGCCCCAGACAAUCCCGCUCGGGUUCACUACGGUCCGAAAUCCUGAAAUUAGGGUCACGCAAAUAGGAAGAGUCGAAGGUGUGUGUCAGCCCCGCGGGAGCCAACAGCCGGACAAGAGCGUGUUGUCUCUCCAGGCUGAAGGAGAAGGUUGUUCUGCCGGUGAGGCUGUUUACACAAAACACAAAGCAAUUGAGGCCACCGCUAAUUUCUUUUCCCUGAGGUCAGAUUGUUUCUACUCAACGAUACCGGAAACAUUAAGGAGUGGAUCGACAAGGGAACACAGUCACGGUCUCCUAAACGCCAGCCUGGCACCCGCAGGGUGACUGGGGCUGCUGACCUGCAGCUCGGCUGUGGCCACGUCCCGCACGGCUGCUCCCCACAAAUCCCUGCUGGCAACAGGGAGGGACAAGCAUUUAAUGAAAUGCUCCUGUCCAACCUGUGUCAAACUGCUGGUCUCUGCUUUGCUACCUCCACCCGACCCAGCUCUUCCUGCCCAAAGCUUCCUCUCCAGCAGCAGAGGAGCCAGAGGAGCCAGGUACCUCCUUCCCAGCCAGGAGUUUGGCCGAUGGAGUAGUGCCGAGAGCUGCUCGAGCAGUCCUGGCCGGUGUGCAGGGAGCAGCAGGCACAUCCCCACUCAGCUCUGCUCGGAGCAUGUGAGGGGCACGGUCCCAGGUGAGCAAGCAGCGCUGGCAGAACACCACGUCCAGCACUGACCCUGCAGGGCUCUGCCUGCUGCUGGAGCACCGCGUGCCCACGGCCACCGGAGCCAAAAGGCCAAGGCUGGCACAAGUGCAGUGCUUGCACUGGCCCUGCCAUGGGUGACUCUUGGGUUGUGAGAUGCAACAUGGUUUGACUCAGCUCUGUUGAAUGAUGCUCUUUGUUCAGGAGGGAGGUGGAGAUGGCACCCAAACCUCAGCCCUGGCUGCAACCCUGGGCAGAUCACUGCAGAGGAUUUCCUCAGCCUGGAGGCACAGAUGGAACCUGCCUGCACGUUCAUCCCAACAUAUCAAGUUAUCAAACUGAAACAGUUCUUGCUCCUGAGCAGCUGCAUUAAAAUAAAACCUCUCUUGGAAUCUUUC
Parus major (Great Tit) is the source of this 1512-nucleotide long non-coding RNA. RefSeq lists it as uncharacterized. The transcript has 2 exons. The record is from RefSeq and is a predicted model, not a curated record. Lineage: Eukaryota; Metazoa; Chordata; Aves; Passeriformes; Paridae.